Molecule: transfer RNA, 87 nt
Filed under: Enterobacteriaceae endosymbiont of Plateumaris consimilis
Lineage: Bacteria; Pseudomonadati; Pseudomonadota; Gammaproteobacteria; Enterobacterales; Enterobacteriaceae
Description: tRNA-Leu
Rfam family: tRNA
About the family: Transfer RNA (tRNA) molecules are approximately 80 nucleotides in length. Their secondary structure includes four short double-helical elements and three loops (D, anti-codon, and T loops).
Source: RNAcentral
GCCGAAGUGGCGAAAUAGGUAAACGCAGUUGAUUCAAAAUCAACCAUCAUUUUUUAUGAUAUAUCGGUUCAAGUCCGAUCUUCGGUA